Molecule: long non-coding RNA, 359 nt
Filed under: Sus scrofa (pig)
Lineage: Eukaryota; Metazoa; Chordata; Mammalia; Artiodactyla; Suidae
Description: lncRNA (ENSSSCG00035012644.1, ENSSSCG00065061933.1)
Source: RNAcentral
CACAAUGCCUCAUGCAUGAGGCAGUCAGUAAAUAUUUGCUGAAUGAUUUGAGUUCACUUUGACUAUUGCACGUUAGUCAGCAUACAAGUCUGUAGUCAUUUAUUGUUAAAUUUCUUCCUGACAUAUAUUUGGUGUAGGAGGAAAAGUGUGUGGGUUUCAGAAAAAUACAGAGAAUGGACAAUUAAGUUUUCCUAGGGUGUGCCGCAUCCUGUUGUCCUAAAAAUGUUUCAGAAAAGCAGAUUGCUGCAAGUACAGUUAGCAAAAAGCAAAAUAGAGGAAUGCUUAAAGAAUAGCAAAAAGGUAAUGCUUGUGUUUGAACUUUAAAUUAGAAGAAAAAUUAUUCUUGUGAUUUUAACUUA